AGAGUUUGAUUAUGGCUCAGGAUGAACGCUGGCGGCGUGCUUAACACAUGCAAGUCGAACGAGGUCCAACCUUCGGGUGAAGACCGAGUGGCGAACGGGUGAGUAACACGUGGGGAACCUGCCCUUCUCUCUGGGAUAACCUCGGGAAACCGAAGCUAAUACCGGAUACUCCUUGCGGACCGCAUGGUCUGCUCGGGAAAGCUCCGGCGGAGAAGGAUGGCCCCGCGGCCCAUUAGCUUGUUGGUGGGGUAACGGCCCACCAAGGCGACGAUGGGUAGCCGAGCUGAGAGGCUGAUCGGCCACACUGGGACUGAGACACGGCCCAGACUCCUACGGGAGGCAGCAGUGGGGAAUCUUGCGCAAUGGGCGAAAGCCUGACGCAGCAACGCCGCGUGCGGGAUGAAGGCUCUCGGGUCGUAAACCGCUUUCGGCAGGGAUGAAAAUGACAGUACCUGCAGAAGAAGCCCCGGCUAAAUACGUGCCAGCAGCCGCGGUAAUACGUAUGGGGCAAGCGUUAUCCGGAUUCAUUGGGCGUAAAGCGCGCGUAGGCGGCUUGUUAAGUCAGGCGUGAAAUCCGGGGGCUCAACCCGCGGCUUGCGUCUGAAACUGGCAGGCUUGAGUCUGGUAGAGGAAAGUGGAAUUCCUGGUGUAGCGGUGAAAUGCGCAGAUAUCAGGAGGAACACCAGUGGCGAAGGCGGCUUUCUGGGCCACGACUGACGCUGAGGCGCGAAAGCUAGGGGAGCGAACAGGAUUAGAUACCCUGGUAGUC
This 769-nucleotide ribosomal RNA is filed under the name uncultured Actinomycetes bacterium. Its description in RNAcentral is "bacterial SSU rRNA". It matches the Rfam family "Bacterial small subunit ribosomal RNA", at positions 8 to 795 of the family's 1533-position model. Lineage: Bacteria; Bacillati; Actinomycetota; Actinomycetes. The record is from RNAcentral.